Long non-coding RNA from Exaiptasia diaphana, 271 nucleotides. RefSeq lists it as uncharacterized. The transcript has 3 exons. The record is from RefSeq and is a predicted model, not a curated record. Lineage: Eukaryota; Metazoa; Cnidaria; Anthozoa; Actiniaria; Aiptasiidae.
GACUAGAGAACUGUACAACAAGCUUGUAUCAAAAAACAAGAUUGCAGGAUUUAAUGUUAAUGAAAGGGUGACUUCUGCUGUGAAUGAUGAAGUGAUAGAGAAAGUUGUUGAGGUUGUCCUGGUAACCCAUGGGGGUGCAGAAAAGUGUUCAUGGUCAUCUGCCCAAAUAAGAGAGGCGCUCAAAACUUAUCAUAGAACUCUAAAAGACAGUUCAAAGAGGUCAAAGGUUCCAGGACAUAAGAUCCAGUGCAGAAGAGAUGGUCGAGUUAAA